CUUGAUAUCUUCUAUUACCGCAAAAAUGGCAUUAUAUGGAGGUAUGAUCGAUCAUGUUAAUUUUCUGGCAGCACUCAAAAGGACUUUAUAAGGAAUUAAGAAGCAUCUUCCUCUAGGUACAUUUUCAGAUGACAUGAUCACCACUGGGAUGUCCUUCAAAGAUGAUGACUCCUGAUAUCAGAGCAAGAGAAGAAGCUCCUCAUAAAUCUCUUGAAACAAUUCCAGGAGAACAAAAUGUGCAUGUUGGAGAUAUGAACCAAGCAUCAACUGUUUACCUUGAUCUUUUUGAGGAGGUCAUACCCUGUCAUCCCAGGCAUGCAGUAAUCUGUUAUUACCAGAUUCACCUCAAUCUCCUGUAAGAAGAAUCACAACCAUCACAGUUUCAUCAGAGACACACAAAAGAAAAUGGGUAAAGAACAGUAACAAGAGGAUCCAUGAGAGAGAAGAGACCAAGUGGAUUACAUUGUGUUCUGGUGAGAGAGCUGGUGUGCUGGUCUGGUCUUCCUUCAACCCCAAGACUUCAAGAGCCUUGCUCCCAGAAUCCACAGUGGUGACUGCAACACCACCAUGAACAUGUUUGAGAUAGAAGAAGCCUUAAGGCACAAUUCAAGGAUUGCUAGUUUUGGUACCUUGAAAGGAAGAUGUCUUGAGGAGCCUCUCAAUGAGUUUUCUAUCCAUGAGGCUGUCAUCCACAGCCAGGACAUGGAACUGAGCUUCUGCAUCCACAGCCAUGGACUUCUCCUCCCCACACAACAACAGUUGCAGCAAGGGCCAAAGAGGUGGAGAAGAUGCAAGCAGAAGAGGUGGAUGGAGCCUUGGUUUCUGCCUUGCCUGGUUAACACCUUCUCUCUGUCUAUAAGCCAAGCAAGGUAAUGAAAUACAAGUCACCUUCUAACCCACCAAAUCCCACCUCAUGGGAGGCAAGAUCUGACCAAAUAUCACACAAAUCUCCCCAUGUCCAAAUCUCUCUCACUUCACAAUCUUGUGCUGAGGACUCGCAUAUCUCCUGAUUCCUCAAAAGUUAUGAGAUUGGUGAGGAUAGUGUGAGAGGGUGAGAUGGGGAAUGGAAUUAGGGGGGUCCCAAGGGACAAGUUAGUGGUGAAGGGGUUUUAUUAUGCUGGUGCUGGCUUCAGAAUUAGGUGGCAGUGGUGGUGCUGGUGCUGGUGGUGGUGGUGCACCACAUAAUCCUGGAUUGUGAUACUCUCACCUCACCUGGGCCCCACUCUUUUACACCAUCCCAUGCCACACCUGUCUGGGAGGCAAUUCCAUGUGACCUCCCCAGAUUUGCCUCCUAAGCACAUCUCCCUUUCUCUUUCCAUCCCUUUCUUUCUCUCUCUCUCUCUCUCUCUCUCUCUAUAUAUAUAUAUAUACACAUAUCUUUUGAUAGUCCA
Molecule: long non-coding RNA, 1391 nt
Organism: Musa acuminata AAA Group (dessert banana)
Lineage: Eukaryota; Viridiplantae; Streptophyta; Magnoliopsida; Zingiberales; Musaceae
Exons: 2
Source: RefSeq, a predicted model, not a curated record